UACGGAGGAUGCGAGCGUUAUCCGGAUUUAUUGGGUUUAAAGGGUGCGUAGGCGGAUGAAUAAGUCAGUGGUGAAAACCUGCAGCUUAACUGUAGAACUGCCAUUGAUACUGUUUGUCUUGAGUACGGUCAAGGUAGGCGGAAUGUGUAAUGUAGCGGUGAAAUGCUUAGAUAUUACACAGAACACCGAUUGCGAAGGCAGCUUACUGGGCCGCAACUGACGCUGAUGCACGAAAGCGUGGGGAGCGAAC
This 250-nucleotide ribosomal RNA is filed under the name uncultured bacterium. RNAcentral's name for it is "partial 16S ribosomal RNA". It matches the Rfam family "Bacterial small subunit ribosomal RNA", at positions 524 to 773 of the family's 1533-position model. The record is from RNAcentral.